Molecule: ribosomal RNA, 763 nt
Filed under: uncultured Streptococcus sp.
Lineage: Bacteria; Bacillati; Bacillota; Bacilli; Lactobacillales; Streptococcaceae
Description: bacterial SSU rRNA
Rfam family: Bacterial small subunit ribosomal RNA
Source: RNAcentral
GAUGAACGCUGGCGGCGUGCCUAAUACAUGCAAGUAGAACGCUGAAGGAGGAGCUUGCUCUUCUGGAUGAGUUGCGAACGGGUGAGUAACGCGUAGGUAACCUGCCUGGUAGCGGGGGAUAACUAUUGGAAACGAUAGCUAAUACCGCAUGACAACAGUUAUUGCAUGAUAACUGUUUAAAAGGGGCAAUUGCUCCACUACCAGAUGGACCUGCGUUGUAUUAGCUAGUUGGUGAGGUAACGGCUCACCAAGGCGACGAUACAUAGCCGACCUGAGAGGGUGAUCGGCCACACUGGGACUGAGACACGGCCCAGACUCCUACGGGAGGCAGCAGUAGGGAAUCUUCGGCAAUGGACGGAAGUCUGACCGAGCAACGCCGCGUGAGUGAAGAAGGUUUUCGGAUCGUAAAGCUCUGUUGUAAGAGAAGAACGAGUGUGAGAGUGGAAAGUUCACACUGUGACGGUAUCUUACCAGAAAGGGACGGCUAACUACGUGCCAGCAGCCGCGGUAAUACGUAGGUCCCGAGCGUUAUCCGGAUUUAUUGGGCGUAAAGCGAGCGCAGGCGUUUAGAUAAGUCUGAAGUUAAAGGCUGUGGCUUAACCAUAGUACGCUUUGGAAACUGUUUAACUUGAGUGCAAGAGGGGAGAGUGGAAGUCCAUGUGUAGCGGUGAAAUGCGUAUAUAUAUGGAGGAACACCGGUGGCGAAAGCGGCUCUCUGGGCUUGUAACUGACGCUUAGGCUCGAAAGCGUGGGAGCAAAUAGG